GUAGGGAAUAUUGCACAAUGGAGGAAACUCUGAUGCAGCGACGCCGCGUGAGUGAUGAAGGCCUUCGGGUCGUAAAGCUCUGUCGCAGGGGAAUAACACAAUGAAGGUACACUGUAAGAAAGGAUCGGCUAACUUCGUGCCAGCAGCCGCGGUAAGACGAGGGAUCCUAGCGUUGUUCGGAAUCAUUGGGCGUAAAGCGGAUGUAGGUGGCUAUGUAAGUCAGAUGUGAAAGCCUGGGGCUCAACCCCAGAAGUGCAUUUGAUACUGCGUAGCUUGAGUGUCGGAGAGGUUACUAGAAUUGUUGGUGUAGUGGUGAAAUACGUAGAUAUCAACAGGAAUACCGGAGGCGAAGGCGGGUAACUGGCCGAACACUGACACUGAGAUCCGAAAGCGUGGGGAUCAAACAGGAUUAGAUACCCUAGUAGUCC
This 428-nucleotide ribosomal RNA is filed under the name uncultured bacterium. RNAcentral describes it as "bacterial SSU rRNA". It matches the Rfam family "Bacterial small subunit ribosomal RNA", at positions 354 to 796 of the family's 1533-position model. The record is from RNAcentral.